CCCCUCGGCCGCUCAGGGCGGGCGUGGCCUCGGAUCCGGGUUUCCGAGGCCGCGGAGGAGCCGUCCGUCCGAAAGGCGGGGAGAGGCAUUGCUGGGGACAGAAUGGCCCGGGUCCUGCCCCUGAGGCCUCCCCCUUCCCCAGAGGCUGACCCAGGAGGGGGGGGUGCCCCCCUGCACACACAGGAGCUGGGAGCCUCCAGGCCCAGGCGCUGCUCCCAGGAGGAGCCCGCCGUGGGCGGGAUGGGUCAGCGGCCAAGGCCGAGCCCUCAACUUGCCGUCCCUGCCGUGGCCCCUGAAGAUGUUCGGACGCAGAGGAAAACAACGCCCCCCAGGACCCCCCAGGGAGGGGGCACCUGUAAUGGACAGUGGGGGGCCCAGAGGGAAGACGUCCUGCAAUCUCAGCAACGGGGAAGCUUGUGACCGUCCUCGAACUUGUCAGGUGUGAGCCCGGGUGUGGCCACCUGAACUGCGAGCCGCCUCACCUUGUCUGCUCUGCUGGACUCUGACUCUGGACAGAGCAGUUCUACUUAAGACGGCAUUUGCCAUCAGAAUUAUUACAAACAAUAGGAUUCUUUCACAUGCAAGUGGCAGAAACUCAUCUCAAAGUGCUUAAGCCUCAGAGGGGACUCAGCUUAGGUCCUUUAUGAGACUAAGACGGAGGCUUCAGGAACAGCUGGAUCAAGGGUGCAGAUACCAGGAUUUUGUUUCUUGCUGUCUUUCAGCUUUACUGCUUCCUCUACAGGGGAAGAUACCUUAGCUCUCACAGCAUCUCCAAAAGGGACGCAAUGGCUGUUGGCACCCCCAGAUUAUAGGAUUCUUGGUGCUUGUGAUUGAUUUCAGCAGGAGAGAAGUCCCCUGUUUCUUAGUGUCUAUAUUUGUCUGUGGAAGGGGGCUGGGCCUGGGCCAGCUGGGGUCUCAUGCCCACCGCUAUACUGAGGGGUUGAAGGUCAUUCCCAUGUUGAGGAGGGCAGUUCCCAGAAGGCAAGAGAAGGGGGCCAGAGAUGCUGAGUGAACCAACUGGGUUCACUGCUGGGUGUUUGGAGACCAGCCUCCCACAGGGGACGAGUUACAGGGGCACCUGCUGAGAGGUCGGAGACAGGGACCAGCGGAGACGGAGGAGGAAUAUUGAAAGAAAGAAAAAAAAAAGAGCCUCUAAAAACCCCACACACCAACAACCUCAGAACUCUGACUCUGAAACUUGGAAAUGUUACCUAAAUUCUGACAAGAAAGGGCUUGUACAUCUCUUUGUGUUCAGAAUCGGCUGCUGGAGAACACAGAGCUUUCUCGAAGCUGUGCCCUACAGAUUCAUUUCGGAUUUGACAUUUAGAAGAAUGUUCCACCCACGGCUUUUCUUUGCGAGACGAGAGUAUCUGUGAACUUAAUAUUCAGGUGGAUAAAUAGAUUGCUUGGAGAAAAUGAUCCCCUCUGAAAUGCUGUCCCCUGGCACUUUUCUUUUUGUCUUGUUUUGUUUUGUUUUCUUUAGGAGAACUGUGAGGGAAAGAAAGCAAAAUGCAGAAAUCCUCUCUGAUAUCCUCACUGCCCACCAUGUUCCCAGCUCAGAUGAGGCGUGAGUUCUCUCCGUCCCCACCCUGCUGCCUCUGGGUGGCUGUUCACCCGGAGCCCAAAGAAGUGACUCCUCACGGUGCAUGGGUGAAGUUGGGGGGGAGAAAGCUGUGGUUUUGUUUUCGCCGGCUUUCAACUGAAUUGUAGCAUUUCCUUUGAUUCUUGAGUGGAAGCAAGAACUCAGAGCAGCAUUAGCAGGACUGGGGAUUUUAGCACCAGCGGGAUCACAGGUGUUUCAUACCACGUGAUUACUCUUGUGGAAUCUGGAAGGAAUGGUUCCUGAUCAUCUCUGCCCUGAAAUUGCAAUCAUUAUCAGACCUGCCACUGGAUCUUACUACGAAUGCACGAGAAAAGAGCACACACGUUGCUUUUCCACACUUACAAUUCUACGCCCAUUUUGAUAUUUGUGGGGCUUUUUUUUUUUUUUGUCAUCCUUCCGAAUUUUGUUUUACGCAUUUCAGCAUACGAUUCUGGGAAGGGGUCCGUGAGCCUCGCUGGCCUGCUGAAGGGAGCCACGGCGUCGCCCGGCCACCAGCUCUGUGCUAUGGAAAGACCGAGUCUCGAAGGAUGGAUACCUUCCCCAAGGAAUGUAUCAGAGCCACCAGCGGCAGAGUUGGAAUUCGACUCCAGAACACCUGGCCCCCUCCUCCUGACCACCCCACCCGCUACCCGCCUUCAGACACCCGGGAGGCCCCUCUCCUCCCAGAAGCUGCUCUCCCUGAAUCACCGGUGAGCGGGGUUUGCCUGAAGUAAUUGAUUGAACGUUACCCAGAAGCGGAAGCCAACCAAAGAGAGACGGCCGCACUGUCCUUUCCAGAAAACCCAGCCCUGUCCGUCCCUGGCUCUCACUUCCCGGCACCCUCACUUGCGCAGCUUAGAAACGCUGUUUCUGUGCCUGGUCGGAGUGGUGCCCCCAUGGCUGGCUUCCCCAAGAGGCACCUCAAGUUCAUUGUGCUCCUCUGAGAUGGCCCCUGUAGGAUAGGAGCCCCGGACAAGGUAAGGGGAACAGUGUGUGUGUGCACAGAGUAUGCAUCCGUUCUGCCUCCUCCUCCUGCCCUCCCAGCUUUGAGCUUCCGGGCUGCGGAAAGCUAACUACACGACUUGCCUGGCUCACCCAGUCCAGGCUGUUUGGUGCCCUGUGUUUUCGCCUGUGCCCUGUCUUCUGCCGGAAACGCCCCUCCCCCUUCACUUUUCCCCUCUCCUACCCCACACUCACCUAAAGGUCCUUGGCCCUCCAUGUCUGGUCCCGGUAUCGAGAGCAC
Long non-coding RNA from Acinonyx jubatus (cheetah), 2825 nucleotides. RefSeq lists it as uncharacterized. NCBI's taxonomy places the organism in Eukaryota, Metazoa, Chordata, Mammalia, Carnivora, Felidae. The transcript is spliced from 4 exons. The record is from RefSeq and is a predicted model, not a curated record.